AGUUUUAUCAGGUAAAGCGAAUGAUUAGAGGUCUUAGGUUGUAACAACCUUAACCUAUUCUCAAACUUUAAAUGGGUAAGAUGAGUAAGGCUACUUGAAUGAUUAUCAAUGAACUCAGAAUUCAAUUCAUUGACUCUGAUUCCUUGGUAGUCGGGGUGUGAUCGUUCGCGGUCAUAUCUCAUGAGCCUUCUCGCUCAAUGGAAGAGUUCUUAGUGGGCCAUUUUUGGUAAGCAGAACUGGCGAUGCGGGAUGAACCGAACGUCAAGUUAAAGUGCCUAAGUGUACGCUCAUAUAGAUCCCAUAAAAGGUGUUGAUUCAUUUAGACAGCAGGACGGUGGCCAUGGAAGUCGGAAUCCGCUAAGGAGUGUGUAACAACUCACCCUGCCGAAUGAAUCAGCCCCUGAAAAAUGGAU
This 413-nucleotide ribosomal RNA is filed under the name uncultured eukaryote. RNAcentral's name for it is "eukaryotic LSU rRNA". It matches the Rfam family "Eukaryotic large subunit ribosomal RNA", at positions 997 to 1323 of the family's 3401-position model. The record is from RNAcentral.